This is a long non-coding RNA of Talpa occidentalis (Iberian mole), 1725 nucleotides long. RefSeq lists it as uncharacterized. The record is from RefSeq and is a predicted model, not a curated record. The transcript has 3 exons. Lineage: Eukaryota; Metazoa; Chordata; Mammalia; Eulipotyphla; Talpidae.
CCAGGUGCCUCUAACAAGCUACUCUGUCCAACUGAGAUCAGAAGUCGUAGAUGAGACUCUGCCUAUGCUUUUCUGUCCUGGAGAAUAUGCCCCUUUUUUCUAAUCCUCAUUGUACCAGACACCUAUGGUUUCGGUCACUCCUGGGGAGUCACGUGGAUACUGUAAGCUGCAAAUCACAGUAACUUCUUCUUGGACAGUACCCUGGAGUCCAGCUUUAUGCAAACGAAUGCUUUGACCCUGGAAGCCACAUGUUGAAGAUGGAGGAGGCACCGCUUGGAAGAGUCCUGAAUCGCUGCCAGAGCACAGUUGCGAUAGGUUUUGGGCUUCAUGAAGAAAAAAACAGCUAUUGCGCUUAAACACUAUUUAUUUUGAGAUGUAACAUGAGGUAGUGUUAUUGUAGCUAAUACAUUUAUCACUGUCUCUCAAAUUGUCUGAAAUAAACUGACAGUGUAUUGGCAGGCCAUGCUGGGUGAGUGUGGGUCCUGAGGAGAAGCAUGCAGGACAGAUGAUCUGGCAAAAACAUCCACCCGGUCAAUGCUGCUCAUGGUUCGUGGACAAUCUUAAGACUGCUAAUUACUUUUCCUGACUUGAGGAAGCUGAGUCCUUUUUUGCCUUCUAGUCAUUUCUAGAAGUUCCAAAUGGAUAGCAGGCAAUAUGCUCUCAGACCACGAGCAGCAACAGGAUGUGGAGAAAACUCAGGCAGCUGUGUGUGUGCCACGGCUCUUCUCUCCUGCUUUUCAUUGUGGAGGAGGAGUCCCUUAUCCGGAAUACUAUACGAAUCAAAGUGUGCUCUAUUGAAACCAGAUGGAGCAGCAGCAUUCUGAAGCUUAUUCUGAAACCCAGGGGAUAUGCAUCAUAAAUAAAUAAACAAUGCACAAUUGAUAAAUCAAGCGGGAAUGAGUUUAACAGUUGAGAUGGAAAAGUAGCUGAAAAAGUGCUCGCUGAUGAAAGAUCUGCAUGUGACCCAGGUACUCCUCACUUGAACAGGCGGCCCACACAGGCUGAUUUCAUUAAGCUAGGGGCUCGGGACAGAAGCAUUAUGGAGGUAGAUGCCACUGGCCACUUUGCAUCACCAAUAUGCUGAUCCAUCUUGUUCACCACUUAUAACAGCAAGACAUUUUCAAGUGCUGUUUUUCUUUUAAUACAUUCUCCUUCCUUUAAGUCUUAUAUAAUUCAAUUAUCAUCCCAUGUGAGAACUGGUUUAAAGAGAAACUUAAGUAGAGUUAAUUCACUGUGAAGGGUUAUGGACGUUAUAUUUACUGCAGAGAGUCACCAGCUGUGUCAUGGAGUAUCUAUUAUAUUCCUGACCUCACACCAGGUUCUGGGAACACAAAUGUGUAUUAAGAGCCAGCCUGUGGCCUUAGGAGUUUAUGUCCUGGUAGCUGAGAGAUAUAUUCAAUCGCUGAGUAAAGAAGCGUUCCAGAUAGCAGGGACCAAGAAAAUGUGCACGAUGUCUAGUGAUCAGCUCUAAAGAGGGAGGGGAUAUGUGUAGAGAGUGGCAGAGAACAGAGGUUGCAGAGCAGUGAAGAAAAUCCAUCUGUCUCACCAGAAGGUCCUAGCACCUGCUGUCUACCAAGGAGAAGCGCUCAAGAUGAUGGUAUUGAAUAAGGGGGCUGUUGUACAUAGUGACAUGAACAACUGCAGGUUGGGGUGAUUGCAGACAAUUGAAGCCAAGCGGGAAACAGGACCCACAGGAGAGAAAUGAGUGGCGGGCCUGGCGGUUGG